CAGUAGCCACGGGAAUACGAAGGGUGCAAGCGUUAAUCGGAAUUACUGGGCGUAAAGCGUGCGUAGGUGGUGGUUUAAGUCCGUUGUGAAAGCCCUGGGCUCAACCUGGGAAUUGCAGUGGAUACUGGGUCACUAGAGUGUGGUAGAGGAUAGUGGAAUUUCCGGUGUAGCAGUGAAAUGCGUAGAGAUCGGAAGGAACAUCUGUGGCGAAGGCGACUAUCUGGGCCAACACUGACACUGAGGCACGAAAGCGUGGGGAGCAAACAGGAUUAGAUACCCCGGUAGUCCCUGUCUCUUAUAA
RNAcentral lists this ribosomal RNA (301 nucleotides) under uncultured bacterium. RNAcentral describes it as "partial 16S ribosomal RNA". It matches the Rfam family "Bacterial small subunit ribosomal RNA", at positions 509 to 809 of the family's 1533-position model. The record is from RNAcentral.